This 497-nucleotide ribosomal RNA is filed under the name uncultured bacterium. Its description in RNAcentral is "partial 16S ribosomal RNA". It matches the Rfam family "Bacterial small subunit ribosomal RNA", at positions 28 to 507 of the family's 1533-position model. The record is from RNAcentral.
GACGAACGCUGGCGGCGUGCCUAAUACAUGCAAGUAGAACGCUGAAGAGAGGAGCUUGCUCUUCUUGGAUGAGUUGCGAACGGGUGAGUAACGCGUAGGUAACCUGCCUUGUAGCGGGGGAUAACUAUUGGAAACGAUAGCUAAUACCGCAUAACAAUGGAUGACACAUGUCAUUUAUUUGAAAGGGGCAAUUGCUCCACUACAAGAUGGACCUGCGUUGUAUUAGCUAGUAGGUGAGGUAAUGGCUCACCUAGGCGACGAUACAUAGCCGACCUGAGAGGGUGAUCGGCCACACUGGGACUGAGACACGGCCCAGACUCCUACGGGAGGCAGCAGUAGGGAAUCUUCGGCAAUGGGGGCAACCCUGACCGAGCAACGCCGCGUGAGUGAAGAAGGUUUUCGGAUCGUAAAGCUCUGUUGUAAGUGAAGAACGGGUGUGAGAGUGGAAAGUUCACACUGUGACGGUAGCUUACCAGAAAGGGACGGCUAACUACGUG